AGCAACGAUCGUCGACUCAGGGUAAGUCGGGACCUAAGCCGAGGCGGAAAGCGUAGGCGAUGGACAACAGGUUGAAAUUCCUGUACCGGAUCAAGUCGAUUGAGCGAAGGAGCGACGCAGGAGGGCACAUGAUCGCGCGGCUGGAAGAGCGCGUCCAAGUGCGUAUGUUGCAGCAGAGGAAAACCCCUGCAGCUAAAAGCAGAGACAUGAAGGGGAGUUAAAGGAAACUUUGACGAACUCAUGGAUCCCACACUGCCAAGAAAAACUUCUAGCGAGACAAGAUCCGCCCGUACCGUAAACCGACACAGGUAGGCGGGGAGAGAAUCCUAAGGUGCGCGGGAAAACCCUCGUUAAGGAACUCGGCAAAUUGCAUCCGUAACCUAGGGAGAAGGAUGGCCCCCGGUCAGUGAAGAGCAGAAACGCUCAGAGCUAAAAGGGGCGGCAGAAAAGAGGCCCAAGCAACUGUUUACCAAAAACACAGGUGCCUGCGAAAGCGAAAGCUGAAGUAUAGGUGCUGACGCCUGCCCGGUGCCGGAAGGUUAAGGAGAGAAGUUAGCGAAAGCGAAGCAUCGAACUGAAGCCCCGGUGAACGGCGGCCGUAACUAUAACGGUCCUAAGGUAGCGAAAUUCCUUGUCGGGUAAGUUCCGACCCGCAUGAAAGGCGUAAUGAUUUGGGCACUGUCUCAACGAGGGGCCCGGUGAAAUUGAAAUACCUGUGAAGAUGCAGGUUACCCGCGACUGGACAGAAAGACCCCAUGGAGCUUCACUGCAGCUUGAGAUUGAAUCCCGGUGACAGAUGCACAGGAUAGGUGGGAGGCGCCGAAGCAUUGCCCUAGGGCGGUGCGGAGCCGAUGUUGGGAUACCACCCUUCUGUUGCUGAGAUUCUAACGCGAGGAGUAACGACCCUGCGGACCCUCUCAGGCAGGCGGUUUGACUGGGGCGGUCGCCUCCGAAAGAGUAACGGAGGCGCCCAAAGGUUCCCUCAGGCCGGACAGAAACCGGCCGAAGAGUGCAAAGGCAGAAGGGAGCUUGACUGCGAGACCAACAAGUCGAGCAGAGACGAAAGUCGGGCUUAGUGAUCCGGUGGUACUGAGUGGAAAGGCCAUCGCUCAACGGAUAAAAGCUACCCUGGGGAUAACAGGCUA
RNAcentral lists this ribosomal RNA (1145 nucleotides) under human gut metagenome. Its description in RNAcentral is "bacterial LSU rRNA". It matches the Rfam family "Bacterial large subunit ribosomal RNA", at positions 1358 to 2484 of the family's 2925-position model. The record is from RNAcentral.